UAAGAUCCUCUUUCCCAACUAGUUAACAAGGACUAUCCCAAAGAAAAAGAUCCAGCUUCCAAUUUUUGCCUCUCAAAAAACCAAAAAAAGAUAAAACUGGUGCGACAGCGCUGCUUCUCAUCUCGUCGUGCAACUGUGAGCAAGCUGAUUUGUGUUGACAAAAUCCUGUACUGAUACAGAGCCGCACUUAUUUCCUCAAAUGCAAGAUGCUCCUCCUCACCAUGACGCUGCAGCAGAGUCGAACUCUUCAGAGUUAUCUGGGAUCUGCAUACUUGCCAACAGCCGAGUCACCUGACGCAUUCGGAUAAGCGUACACCCACCCGUGUCGGCCGUAGUGCGCCAACUGCUCCUGUGCACGCUCUCAUGCAACGGUAAAUGAGAGUAGGUGUCAACUCAAGCCAUGAUCUGAAUAUUUUGCCCAGGAACGCACGCCGCCGGUGCCAGAGAGCUGUGAACAUGCGAUCUUCAUUCCGAAGCAUGGCUUGGGCACCACCAUGUGAAAGUUGAGAGAGAUCAUCUACAAACAAACAAUGCGUCAGGAAGUGAUUAUAUUUGAUCUGGGGUGUUGGUGCCCACGAUGUCACUGACUAGGAGGGCUAAAUAGCACCGAGCACCCAUAUCAUUAUGCGCAGUACUUGCCAGAUGUAACCGAGCAGUAUCAAGGAUUUGUCAAAUAUCCAGGCUGUGCCAAGCGAGACAAGCUAUGCCGUUACAAAUGCAUGCAUACUGUGGACCUGGCCUAGACCAUACAAUAUCAAGGUCUGCGAUUCUGUGUUUUACAGAAAACAACUCAACAAAAGAUCGAUGUGCGUAACUUCGAGCUGCACUACAGUCCUGCAGGCGUAACAGCAAGACUUAAAAGAAUCAAAGCAGCACUUCAAAAGGAAAUUUUGUAAAUGAUUUCCGAUGUUUCACCGUACAGCCUUUGGCAAGGAGCACACACGCACCCCCCCCAGCCUCCUUUCUUUGGAGCCGUACAGAUGGCAGUUUAACUUUUUUCCUCUUUUUCUCGCCAGCUACGGGAUGUAUAUAGAGUAUGCUGUAUAUCGAGUAGCCAUUUACAGCAGGAUACCAGGCACCGGCGCAGCAUUACAUCCCACGCCUCCUAUUGCAAACAACCGCGCAUUUCCUGCAGUUGAGAGUUCAAGGUAAACAAACAGUUCAGAUUGAAGCACUUCCACAGCAGCACGAAAAAAAAUAAAACCCCCCACUGCAUUUCUUUUUCGUCUGGAUUUACACUUGCCCGUUCCUCCCGUUUAGAAACACCGAGCACCCCCGACUGCCCUGACAGCUCCUCGGACGACGCCUGGCUCCUGUCCUGACAGCCCUUGCAAGGAAAGGCGCUCCCGAGGAGCUCACCCGCGGCUGGGCGCCGGAGGACCGGGCCC
This is a long non-coding RNA of Egretta garzetta (little egret), 1388 nucleotides long. RefSeq lists it as uncharacterized. The transcript has 4 exons. NCBI's taxonomy places the organism in Eukaryota, Metazoa, Chordata, Aves, Pelecaniformes, Ardeidae. The record is from RefSeq and is a predicted model, not a curated record.